RNA transcript from Brachypodium distachyon (stiff brome), 3056 nucleotides. It is a transcript of the gene named pentatricopeptide repeat-containing protein At3g22690, with no coding region annotated. The record is from RefSeq and is a predicted model, not a curated record. The transcript is spliced from 3 exons. Lineage: Eukaryota; Viridiplantae; Streptophyta; Magnoliopsida; Poales; Poaceae.
CCUUGGCACUCCGCAGGCUGCACUCGGCGUCUCGGCCGCCGCCUCUGAUCCUCUCUCGGUCUCUCCUUCCCGCCAUCCCAUCGUAGCACACAAACCGUCCCUCCAGGGUCCAAGCUCGACUUCACCUCCGAAAUCCCAGCGCGCUAGCUGCCUGCGUACACAAACUGCUCUUCUGUCUUCUCCCCAACCCACCCAUCAGUCCAUCACCCAUGCCAUGCGUUAUCUCUACUUCCGCCCCAACACAACAAGUCGGGCGCGCGCCUGCCGCGACAGCCUUCUCGCCCACCUCGACGCCUGCGCCUCGCGGGCCAACUUAGCGGAGCUUCAUGGGCGGCUCGUCCGCGCGCACCUCGGCUCCGAUCCAUGCGUGGCCGGCCGGCUCGUCACCCUCCUUGCAUCCCCUGUGUCGAGGCAUGACAUGCCUUACGCGCGCAAAGUGUUCGACAGAAUGGCCCAACCAACCGCCAUCGUCUGGAACUGCAUGAUUCGAGGGUAUAACAGUUGUCACGCCCCUAUGGAUGCGCUGGAGUUGUUCAGGGCAAUGCGUCGGAGCGGAGUGUCCCCUGAUAAUUACACGAUGGCCGCUGUUGCACAAUCGAGUGCUGCAUUUGCUAGCUGGAAGGGGAGGGCAACUGGGGACGCAGUCCACGCCUUGGUUCAAAGGAUUGGGUUUGCAUCCGAUCUGUUCGUCAUGUCAGGCCUUAUUAAUUUCUAUGGUGCUUCCAAAAGUGUUGAAGAUGCAAGGAAGGUUUUUGAGGAAAUGCACGAGCGGGAUGUGGUGUCUUGGACGUUGAUGAUCUCAGCUUUUGCACAGUGUGGUCAGUGGGAUAAUGUGUUGAGGUCACUUGACGAGAUGCAAUCAGAAGGCACUAAGCCUAACAAGAUCACGAUUAUAAGUCUCCUUUCUGCGUGUGGCCAAGUGCGGGCUGUGGACAAAGGCCUGUGGGUGUAUGCACGGGUUGAUGAAUAUGGCAUUGAGGCUGAUGUUGAUAUCAGGAAUGCACUCAUAGGCAUGUAUGUGAAAUGUGGAUGCAUGUCUGAUGCAUGGAAAACAUUUAAAGGCAUGCCUAUAAGAAAUACUAAAUCUUGGAACACUUUGAUUGAUGGGUUUGUGCAAAAUGGGAAGCAUAAAGAAGCACUAACAAUGUUUGAAGAGAUGUUAUCAGAUGGUGUAAUACCUGAUGUGAUUACUCUCGUUAGUGUCUUAUCGACAUAUGCUCAACUUGGUGAUCUUCAACAAGGGAGAUAUUUGCACAAUUAUAUCAAAGAUCAUGAGAUCCACUGCGACAUUAUCCUUCAAAAUUCUUUAAUCAACAUGUAUGCCAAAUGUGGUGAUAUGGCUGCAGCUGAAAUCAUUUUUGAAAAUAUGGCACGGAGGGAUAUCGUGUCCUGGACAGCUAUGGUUUGUGGUUAUGUGAAAGGACUUCAAUUUAGAACAGCAUUUAACUUAUUUGACGAUAUGAAGGUUCGAGAUGUUAUGGCAAGUGAAAUGGCACUGGUUAGUCUACUUUCUGCUUGUUCACAGCUUGGAGCACUUGAUAAAGGAAGAGAGAUACACUCUUAUAUAAAAGAAAAGAGCGUCAGAACAGAUAUGUGGCUUGAAAGUGCCCUGGUCGAUAUGUAUGCAAAAUGUGGAUGCAUCGAUGCAGCAGCUGAAAUAUUCAGUAGAAUGCGGCACAAGCAAACCCUCGCAUGGAACGCUAUGAUUGGAGGUCUUGCAAGCCAGGGACAGGGAAAAGAAGCAGUUGCGCUCUUUGAACAAUUGCUGAAGUUAAGAGAUCCAAAACCUGAUGCCAUUACUCUGAAGGUAGUUCUUUGUGCCUGCACACAUGUAGGAAUGGUUGAUGAGGGGCUCCAUUACUUCAAUUUGAUGUUGACCCUUGGCAUUGUCCCUGAUAAUGAGCAUUAUGGUUGCAUAGUGGAUCUCCUGGGUAGAGCCGGGCUGCUAGACGAAGCUUAUAAUUUUAUCCAGAAGAUGCCGAUACAGCCCAAUCCUGUAAUUUGGGGAUCACUUCUUGCAGCGUGUAGAGUUCAUCACAGGAUGGAACUAGGAAAAAUAAUUGGACAGCACAUCAUCGAUUUAGCUCCUAAUGAUGUGGGAGCACAUGUGCUAAUCUCAAACUUACACGCCGAAGAAGGUCAGUGGGAUGAUGUAGAGCAAGUAAGAGGGAUGAUGGGAAGCAGGCGUGUAGAGAAGUCACCUGGUCACAGCUCCAUACAAGUUUAGACAUGCUUCAUACUUCAUCAUUAUGUUUCUUUAGAUGAAAAGGGCAUCUCCUGUGUUCCAUUUAUUGAAAAACGACAAACCAAACAAUCAUCGUUCAGCAGUUCAACACAUGAAAGGCCCUAACAGCCAAGCAAAAAGGGAAAAACUAAACCAGCUGCACCAAGCCACUCAGAGGAACAUCCAUGACUCACGCCAGAGGAAACAGAAAAACAGUGCCUUAGUGGUUCCAAGGGAUCCAAGCAUCCAGCCCCAGAAGAUGGCCUCAAAGAAAGCAGCUGAAGUUACUGGACUGUGCGGCUACAGGUUGCAGCUGAAGGCACCAUGAGAGUAUACUUUAUCUCUUCCGUAGGAAUCCAAAUGUUGCAGUCAUGUUAUUCCGUUUUCUGUGGCUCACCCCAUCCUUGUACUGUUGCACAGGCCUGCAGUUCAAUUUUCUCUGUGCAGUGGAAAAAGGCUCAAGAAAUCAACCAGCAGAUUGAAACAAGGUAUCAUCGCUAGCCUAACUGACCAAGAAUCACUCAUAUAUGCCGCACAAGGACAUCGCAAGUGAAGCAAGCCAUCACCGGGCUGAAGCUGUGAAGCAACAACGUCGUUGCUGAAGCAUGGCGUCGUCGAAGAUGACCUGCCUGUUUUUGUCGUUUCGUUCGUGGCUUUUGACUUAUUUUAAGCUGUUGUCGCCAGCAUUUUGCUUUGUUUACCGCAUAAGAUUGUGUCCCCAGCACUACUUGCUCCCCCUCGUGGUUUGUAAUUCUGAAUACUGGUCUUGUUGAAAGCUGUUUUGAAUGAUUUUUGUCUUUGAUGAAAUAGUAUGACAUGGAACAGUAAUUAA